GUGCGUCUCCCGUAAGCCUACUCCCCUCCUGUAUAACGGCGACCGGGGCCUCGGGUCGGCCGUCGCCUGAUGCAAUCUUCUUCAACCUCACCAUUCAUCAAAAUCAUUCGCGUUUGGUACCUCAGCUUUCUGCAUGCCGUGCUGUAGGCAUCUUGAUUUCAACUUGUUAAUGAAGUCCCUUGCCCUACAAAGGGAAUUCUGUUAGAACUCUGGGUUUGAUAUGCAUGUUAUGAGCCUUGUAAUCAGAUAUAGCAGCUAAUAGUUUGGAUGAUCUUUCCAUGUCCCAUCAUACUUACUCUGUUCGUUGCUUCAUCUCUUAGGCUUCUUAACAUUUCAAAUCUUGCAACUUUAAUAUUCUAUGAACACUUUUGAUGCUCGUCUCUAAACCAUUUCUUUUAAUUUAAGGUGUUAUGGUGAAAAUUAUGUUAAACAUCCACAGGGAAGUAGAAGCUGCAAUAUAUGAGAAACAUAAGAUAUGUGAGCCCUUAUAUUCCUGAUGUUUGAGGACCAAGUACUUUUCCAAGAAAGCCCUACAUGGAGGUAAAGGGGACAAUAUGACCAUGAAACACACUUUUGAUGAUGAGGACAAAGUCAAAUGGUUAAAUUUCAUGGUUCUUUAUAAGUUUAUAUUUCAAAUUGAAUUUGGAUUUGACCACAGUUUUGUGGUCCUAUUUAGAUAGCCCUGUCCAAAAUCAUCUCUGACCCAAUUAAAUACCUGGAAGAUCAGUACUAGUCAGCACUGGAAGCAGAAACCACAAUGACAGUCAACAAUAAAUAAUCUUCCAAAAAAAGCUUUUAAUGGUGACUUGGAGGACAACGUGAUGAAGACAAAAGGGAAGUUAUAUUUAUGUGUUGUCGUGGUACUUAUUUUAUUGCCUUUGUGCUUAUGGCUUAUUGCAGCCAGGAUAGUAGGACACAGAAAGCUAUGAAAGGCGGCAGCUGUUAAAUUACUUGUCUUUCAUAUAAAAUGAUAUGAAACUGGACUAGUUUUGCAUGCAAAUGCCACUUUGAUGGACCAAGAAAGCUCCAUACAUCACUUGUUGAAAAUCUGGUUUGAAAUUUUAUGAAAAUGGUUGUCACAAAAACUAUUGAAUGCAUCAUUCUGAAUUUUGGUGUGCAGCUUGAAUUAGGUGGACUGCAUGAGCAGAACAAAAAUAUUAUUAUCGAGGAAAUGAAGGCCCCAAAGGAGCAUCUCAGGUGAAACCAGACAACUUUUAGUUCAAGUCUCAUGCAAGCUGGGUUAUUCUAGACAUGUGAGGCACAAUUAUACUCAGCUGCUAGAUUUUCAAGUUCCUUUAGGAGCUCAAGCUUUUUGUCCCUAAGCUUUAUAUUCUCAUGGAGGAUGUGAUGGCACUCUUUCAUCAUGUUGUUUACUUCGUGGAGGAGUUGGUGGUUCACUGAUUGGAAGUGAAUGACCAGUGACCACAACUGAUUGAAUUGUUUCUGCUUUCUCAUGCGCGAUCGUCGAGCAGACUCUCUGUUGGAUAUCAUCCUUCUCUUCCUCCUCUCUUCGAUGAGGCUUGAUUUGUCUUCAUCUUCCUCAUCUGCAGCUGAGUUAGUGUUAUAACAAGUGCUUGGAUAGCAAUCAGCAUACAUCCUGGAAUCAUAAGUGGAAAAAGAUCUGAAGAGACUGCUAAACUUGAAGGAUGAGAUGUCACUUGGAGCCAUACUAUAAUGGGCUUGGAAGGAAGGCAGGUUUGAAGGUGAAAGAUACCAAAUGCUGUCAACCUCAUCAUGGUGCAUGGUUGUAUCGUUUCAAAAAGACUGCAUAAGGUAAGAACAGCUUUGGGAGGAAGAGUUGUUACAAAGAAAGAAUUGAGGUGAGCAAUGGAAGCAUGAAAGAACAGGAUGUGGAGGUUAUUUAUAGUGUUAAAAGACCAAAGGGUGAGAGACCUACUUCAAGCAUUUCACACUUUGUUAAACAGGCAAUAAGAACACACAUCCAUGAGAUCACCAUCCAGCUUGUGGGAUACCAGGGAACGAGUGGCUCAGUUUUCAUGUUUGUGUUUUCCAAGCAUGUCCAGAGGAGCGUCUCCAUCAUGAUUGUCUGAUCAAGAUUGGACACUAGAGUGCAAAUGGAAUGGACCCCCAAUAGCAUCACAUCCACUACCAUUAAAUGAGGUGCUGGUUGUUUAACAAUGACAAGCAUUUCCCCUGAGGUGAGAACAGGAUAUUGACAAAGGUUUGCUGCAAGCAUGAAUCUGGAUCAUGUAUAAUUGAUGAAAGGAUUGUGGGCUUAAACCUUGGAACAUUGCAGCUGCAGGCGCUUAAUGAGAUGAGGAUAGAUAAAUUCUUGAAUGAGAGGGUAGAGUUCAUUUUACUGGAGGGUUGAUAGUUGGAGCAAGUGUUCGAGCAAGGUGAAAGAGGAUGAAAAUGAAAGAAGAUAUGCAAGGAAUGUUUGAUUGGUGUAUUUCUGUGACACUGGCUUUAUAUUUAUAUUAAGAUGAGGGGCAUAAUGGAAGUCAUUUCCCAGAAAAGUUGACAUAUUAUUUAUGCCACUGAAAUAAUCCAUAAAUACAGGCCCAUUUGGUCAAGGUAUAUCUGGAAGGAUGUCAUGGAACAUUUUGCUAAAAGCUCAAUUCUUUGGCAGACUUCCUCUGCUGCUUCUUGAAAGCUUUUUAGGAAGGAGGAGAUAAUGAUCAUCAAUCACAUAUUCAGGAACCUGGUGUAGCUUAAUGUCAUUCUUAUUCAUUUUGACAUUGCUGUCACCAGUACAUAAAACCAAAAUAUGAGUUUGCUACAAGAUUGCCUCCUUAGAAGAGAGAGAUGGAAAACUGGCAUAUGUGAGAGGGAUCAGGUUCCUACUCCAGCUUGCAAGCAACCCCAGCAGCAGAGGAAUGCAAAGGAACUCAGCACCCCAGUGACACAAUUCCUCAUGAAUUGACUCACUUAUGGCUUUUGAGUUCAGAGUUUGUGGCAUCAGAUUGCUGCAAAAUCCAUUCACAAAGAAUUUGAAGUGGUAGGUGUAUAAAUGAUCAUGAAUGUGAAAUUGUUCAAGACAAAAUAUGAUCAUAUGCAUCUCCUUCAAGUUUGAAAAUCCAUCAAACACUUUCCCAAACUAUUUUACAUUUGUAGUUCUCCAUUAUUCUGCUAGAUGUGAAAAUAGAGUGCUGUCAGAUAGGCUGAUUCCAGGAUGGAAUUGCACUA
This is a long non-coding RNA of Musa acuminata AAA Group (dessert banana), 3147 nucleotides long. RefSeq lists it as uncharacterized. The transcript has 4 exons. NCBI's taxonomy places the organism in Eukaryota, Viridiplantae, Streptophyta, Magnoliopsida, Zingiberales, Musaceae. The record is from RefSeq and is a predicted model, not a curated record.